This 461-nucleotide ribosomal RNA is filed under the name uncultured bacterium. RNAcentral describes it as "partial 16S ribosomal RNA". It matches the Rfam family "Bacterial small subunit ribosomal RNA", at positions 338 to 795 of the family's 1533-position model. The record is from RNAcentral.
CCUACGGGUGGCAGCAGUGAGGAAUAUUGGUCAAUGGCCGGAAGGCUGAACCAGCCAAGUCGCGUGAGGGAAUAAGGCCCUAUGGGUCGUAAACCUCUUUUGUCAGGGAGCAAAGGCGUCCACGUGUGGACGAGAGGAGAGUACCUGAAGAAAAAGCAUCGGCUAACUCCGUGCCAGCAGCCGCGGUAAUACGGAGGAUGCGAGCGUUAUCCGGAUUUAUUGGGUUUAAAGGGAGCGUAGGCCGCAUGUCAAGCGUGCUGUGAAAUGUCCGGGCUCAACCCGGGCCUUGCAGCGCGAACUGGCGUGCUUGAGUCCGCGGAAAGCAGGCGGAAUUCGUCGUGUAGCGGUGAAAUGCUUAGAUAUGACGAAGAACCCCGAUUGCGAAGGCAGCUUGCUGCAGCGGAACUGACGCUGAUGCUCGAAAGCGCGGGUAUCGAACAGGAUUAGAUACCCGGGUAGUC